AUUGAACGCUGGCGGCGUGCCUAAUACAUGCAAGUAGGACGCAGUUGCGAACGGGUGAGUAACGCGUAUGUAACUGCCUAUUAGAGGGGGCUAACUAUUGGAAACGAUAGCUAAUACCGCCUACUAGUAGAUGGACCUUCGUUGUAUUGGCUAGUAGGUAGGGGAAUGGCCUACCUAGGCGGAGAUACAUAACCGACCGGAGAGGGUGAUCGGCCAAACCGGGACUGAGACAAGGCUCAGACUCCUACGGGAGGCAGCAGUAGGGAAUCUUCGGCAAUGGGGGGAACCCUGACCGAGCAACGCCGCGGGAGUGAAGAAGGUUUUCGGAUCGGAAAGCUCUGUUGUUAAGGAAGCGGUACUUAACCAGAAAGGGACGGCUAACUACGUGCCAGCCGCCGCGGUAAUAC
This 407-nucleotide ribosomal RNA is filed under the name uncultured bacterium. RNAcentral describes it as "partial 16S ribosomal RNA". It matches the Rfam family "Bacterial small subunit ribosomal RNA", at positions 30 to 526 of the family's 1533-position model. The record is from RNAcentral.